Monodelphis domestica (gray short-tailed opossum) is the source of this 1580-nucleotide long non-coding RNA. NCBI's taxonomy places the organism in Eukaryota, Metazoa, Chordata, Mammalia, Didelphimorphia, Didelphidae. The record is from Ensembl.
AUUAGAUGUUAUUAUUAUUUAUUGAUAUUGAUUUUAUAAGCUGUAUUCCCAAAUACCCUCAUUACUUUAUUCUCUCUCUCUCUCUCUCUCUCUCUCUCUCUCUCUCUCUCUCUCUCUCUCUCUGUGUGUCUGUGAAGGAGACAGAACACUGAAGUAGGAGUUGGAAUAUCUAGAUUCUCGUCCUGAAUCCUUUAUGUAAUAGGAGAGAAAACAAUUUAAUCUCUCUUAUCUAUAGAAGGAAUACCUUCUGUGAAGAUUGGAUUUGGCUCUCCCCUGAUUGUAACAAUGAAGAUGUUCCCAGCGCCAGUGGCACGGGCUCAUCCCGAUGGGGAGAGAGAGAACAGUGACGGGAGCCCAAGACUGUCAUUCAUCUUCUCCUGUUUGUGGGCCCUCUGCCAGACAGGAGUGUGACACCAAAGCAGCUGGAAAAGGUGUGCCCGGAGGAGGGAGUAAGCACAGCAGUGGAAUCAGAGAGGAAGUACCACAGCAUGGAAGAGGAGAAGGAAUAUUUGGAGGCAGAUAACCUUGAAUGGAUAAGAAAUAUCAGCUCCAAGUAGGAAAUCGGCAAGGGCAGGCAAUGGAAGUGAAGUGACAUGCCCAAGCUCAUGAGUCUAAGCCAGAUUUGAACCCAGGUCCUCUUGCCUCCACUGAACCAUUAGCUGCCUCAUGAUUCUGUGAUUCUUAGACUUGGAUUCCAAUCCCAACUGUGCUCCUUACAAACAUUGUUGCUUUAUUCUCCUGAACCUUAAUUUCUUCAUCUGUAAAAUGAAGACUGUUCUAGUUGAUCCCUAAGAUCUCUCUUCUACAUCUUAUAAUCCUUUAGAUGCAUACAAUAGUCAAUGUAUUCUAUCACUAUGUGAGAAAAUUGAUAUAUCAUUAUGGGAAAAAUGAUGGAUUAGAAGGGAAGUAAACUAGUUUUGAUGGAGGGGUCUACUACUUAAAAGCUGUGUGGCAGGGGCAGAGUACCAGGCUUGUAGUCCAGAGGACCUGGGUUCAAAUGUGACCUCAGAUACUUCCUGGUUGUGUGACCCUGGCCAAGUCACUUAACCCUGAUUGCCCAGCCUUUGCCACUCUUCUGUCUUAACCCUGACUGCUGUGGUAGAGGCAGUGGAGAGAGAGAGCACUUGUAAGCCAAGAUGCAAGAACGAGGGCUGGGGACCUGCCUGUCAAUCAGAAGAAGGUUCCAAAUGGAAUGUUCACAGGAGUUGGCAGUUGAGCUGACCAGGGGGAGGGGACUGGACUUGGAGUCACUCUCUCUGAAGGUUGAACCUGGCUGAAGGACCCUUGUAGGGCUGACUUGGUUUUGGGGAGCUCUCUGAUCAAGAGAAAAAUCCCUGAGAUUUGACUGAUCAAAGGCUGAAGAAGAGACUUUGAACUUUGUUUCUCCCUGGGGUUGAAACUGAGAAAGGAGACAAGCUAGGCUGAAGGAGAGAUUUUGAACCUUCUUUUCUCUCUUGAGAAGUUCUCAGACUGAAAGACCCUUGGGGUGGGGCAGUGGGGGGCUUCAGAAAUUAACCUGAGAGACCUUGCUGAUUUUGUGAAGAAGAAUAAAGAAGAUUUUGAACAGCUGUUGUCCUCCA